Molecule: ribosomal RNA, 1378 nt
Filed under: Escherichia coli
Lineage: Bacteria; Pseudomonadati; Pseudomonadota; Gammaproteobacteria; Enterobacterales; Enterobacteriaceae
Description: partial 23S ribosomal RNA
Rfam family: Bacterial large subunit ribosomal RNA
Source: RNAcentral
CUGUGAGCUCGAUGAGUAGGGCGGGACACGUGGUAUCCUGUCUGAAUAUGGGGGGACCAUCCUCCAAGGCUAAAUACUCCUGACUGACCGAUAGUGAACCAGUACCGUGAGGGAAAGGCGAAAAGAACCCCGGCGAGGGGAGUGAAAAAGAACCUGAAACCGUGUACGUACAAGCAGUGGGAGCACGCUUAGGCGUGUGACUGCGUACCUUUUGUAUAAUGGGUCAGCGACUUAUAUUCUGUAGCAAGGUUAACCGAAUAGGGGAGCCGAAGGGAAACCGAGUCUUAACUGGGCGUUAAGUUGCAGGGUAUAGACCCGAAACCCGGUGAUCUAGCCAUGGGCAGGUUGAAGGUUGGGUAACACUAACUGGAGGACCGAACCGACUAAUGUUGAAAAAUUAGCGGAUGACUUGUGGCUGGGGGUGAAAGGCCAAUCAAACCGGGAGAUAGCUGGUUCUCCCCGAAAGCUAUUUAGGUAGCGCCUCGUGAAUUCAUCUCCGGGGGUAGAGCACUGUUUCGGCAAGGGGGUCAUCCCGACUUACCAACCCGAUGCAAACUGCGAAUACCGGAGAAUGUUAUCACGGGAGACACACGGCGGGUGCUAACGUCCGUCGUGAAGAGGGAAACAACCCAGACCGCCAGCUAAGGUCCCAAAGUCAUGGUUAAGUGGGAAACGAUGUGGGAAGGCCCAGACAGCCAGGAUGUUGGCUUAGAAGCAGCCAUCAUUUAAAGAAAGCGUAAUAGCUCACUGGUCGAGUCGGCCUGCGCGGAAGAUGUAACGGGGCUAAACCAUGCACCGAAGCUGCGGCAGCGACGCUGAUGCGUUGUUGGGUAGGGGAGCGUUCUGUAAGCCUGUGAAGGUGUGCUGUGAGGCAUGCUGGAGGUAUCAGAAGUGCGAAUGCUGACAUAAGUAACGAUAAAGCGGGUGAAAAGCCCGCUCGCCGGAAGACCAAGGGUUCCUGUCCAACGUUAAUCGGGGCAGGGUGAGUCGACCCCUAAGGCGAGGCCGAAAGGCGUAGUCGAUGGGAAACAGGUUAAUAUUCCUGUACUUGGUGUUACUGCGAAGGGGGGACGGAGAAGGCUAUGUUGGCCGGGCGACGGUUGUCCCGGUUUAAGCGUGUAGGCUGGUUUUCCAGGCAAAUCCGGAAAAUCAAGGCUGAGGCGUGAUGACGAGGCACUACGGUGCUGAAGCAACAAAUGCCCUGCUUCCAGGAAAAGCCUCUAAGCAUCAGGUAACAUCAAAUCGUACCCCAAACCGACACAGGUGGUCAGGUAGAGAAUACCAAGGCGCUUGAGAGAACUCGGGUGAAGGAACUAGGCAAAAUGGUGCCGUAACUUCGGGAGAAGGCACGCUGAUAUGUAGGUGAAGUCCCUCGCGG